CAUGCUGCCUCCAUCCCUCCCUCUCCCUCGGACUUGGCGGGGAGGGUAGAGAAAAAAAACAAGGAGUGGUUGUGUGAUUCCCGCUUAGUGCACGAGACAGAGAAACGGUAUGAGGGUGGAGGAAGAAGAGGAGGAGGAAGAGAAUGUGCCGGGGUAGUGGGGCGUCCCCCCAACACACGUAUACGCCAGCAUGGAUGCAAUUUGUAACAAACGGAGCGGCUUCUUCUCGAGAGUGGUGCUGUCUCCUUACAAAAGCAUGACACAAAAGAGGAUGAUGAUGAUGAAGAACAAGAGGAGGGCCUCUCGGCUCUACUCUCGACCACGGGUAUUCUUGGGUUGAUAAUACAGAUGUGGAUGUUAUUGCUUGAGAAUACGCGUAGUCGAGUGGAGGCUUUGUCAUCCCAAGGACGUUUGGAAUCAAAAGAUUCCAUUUGUGGGUUUAUGAAGUGUGUCCGUUUUAGCACCUGUAAGAAGAAAUGAGUUUGCUCGCAUCCCCUUCGAGUGGCGCUGAUGGUGACGACCUCCAGCACUGUGCUAACACUAAGCUCAACUCCCUAAAGGCAUUAUUAGUUCAGGGAGAUGAACACUCCAGUCACACGUUCAUUACAAACCUUCUACUACUCAGCCGGUUGUGCCCUCGAGGAGAGAAAGAGAGCAAGAGAGGCAAUAAUCUUAUUACUAGUGAGCAGGUAUAAUGGCCUGUUUCCGCCUAAAUUUAGUAGGAUUUUGCACAAUAAUCGUUGUAUUUAGUAGAGAAAUUGUGCUUUUUUUUUCAAUGGCAACAUUUGAUAAAUCCCGUUUUCUAUUUGGCAAGACAAGCCAAGGCAAAUUUAUUUGUAUAGCACAAUUUAACACAAGGCAAUUCAAAGUGCUUUGCAUCACAUGAAGAUCCACGAGAAGAGAUAAAAUAAUUCAUAAAAAUCACAUUAAAUCAAAGGAAAGUUAAAACAAUGACAAUUGAAACAGGAAAUAACAUUAUACAUGAAAUGAAUAAAAAGCAAAUAGGUUGAAAUUUGAAAUAUAUAGACAGUUAUAGAAUUGCUGUGAUAAACUUCAGACCUUCAGGCAACUUGUUCCAGAGGGGAGGCGCAUAAUAACUAAAUGCUGCCUCACUCUGCUUGGUUCUUUUUUGGAACGAGAAAUGGUUUGCAACCUGGAUAAGUUGCCAGUCAAUUAAGUAUUUUUUUUUUUUUCUGUAUUUAAAAUAUAUUAAAUGAUACCAAUUACCAAUACUAUUAUACUGUUGUUUUUUGUUUUUGUUUUUACCAUAAAUCUCAUUUAAAAUGAUUUAUUUUUCCCCAAAUUGACAGUCUACCGUAUAAUCCAGUACACAUUAUUUAAGAAUUCUUGUGUUUAAUGACCUCAAACCUAAUUUUUUGGACCAGAACUACAUUAUUAUAUAGCGGAACACACUCAGGUGACUUGAAGUUCCACUCUGAGACCCCCAAUUUGGCCAAAUUUCAAAAUUGUCCGAAAUGCAUGUGUGAUACAUCAUUGGAAAGCUUAAAAUCUCAAUUUUCUGGGGGAAGAAAAUUUUAUAACAGGAGGGCAUUUAAAAAAAGAAAAAAAAAAUUUUUAACAACAAAACCCUAUCUGGAGGUGAGAGCACGCGAGAGCAGAAUUACAGCCGCCAUGACUUUAAUAAGAUAUUAUCGCGUACUUACCUUGUUUCGAUCCAAAAACUCCAUUUAGCAUGUAUCACCGAGUUUCAAGACACAGCUGUGAAUCUCUACAGCUGGAUUUUUUAAGGAUUUUAUGGGUGAAACAUGGUAGUAUAACAAGGGUCACGAUGCAGAAAUCGCAGACAUCAAGGAGUGGUUGAGAUGUUCUUAUUCAUAUAUUUACCCUUGUAAACGUUUUUUUCCCCAUUUUUCUUUGUUUGGAUCGAUUAUUUAUCAUCUAACAUAUCGGAGAAAAUGCGACAGUAACAAAAAAAAAAAAAUACAAUUAAGCGAUAGUUAUGAAGUAGAUAUGCGUGACUUUUUUACAGACACCAUUUUUUUUUCAUUUUGAUUUAAUUGGUUUGAAAG
Molecule: long non-coding RNA, 2030 nt
Organism: Corythoichthys intestinalis (scribbled pipefish)
Lineage: Eukaryota; Metazoa; Chordata; Actinopteri; Syngnathiformes; Syngnathidae
Exons: 3
Source: RefSeq, a predicted model, not a curated record